Paramuricea clavata is the source of this 132-nucleotide non-coding RNA. Lineage: Eukaryota; Metazoa; Cnidaria; Anthozoa; Malacalcyonacea; Plexauridae. The record is from the annotation of a GenBank genome assembly.
CCGAAUAACAUUUUGUAGCUUUAUUGAAUCUAGGUUUCGACUAUAUUUUAGUCAUCAUCAGGACAGAUUGAUGAUGAUGACUAAAAUAUAGUCGAAACCUAGAUUCAACAAAGCUACAAAAUGUUAUUCGGA